Molecule: long non-coding RNA, 273 nt
Filed under: Lathyrus oleraceus (garden pea)
Lineage: Eukaryota; Viridiplantae; Streptophyta; Magnoliopsida; Fabales; Fabaceae
Description: Pisum sativum (pea) long non-coding RNA (PSAT_LNC013993)
Source: RNAcentral
AGCAAUCAACAUUCGAAAAUAACAUACGCAAACUCUGAUUGAUAAAGACAUACCUGACUAUUUCUCAUGAUGAAUAUUGUGUUUGGCUUUUUUUGACCUCACCAUGUUGGGUAAAGCUGACAAACUCUUAAGUACCUUUUGUGUGAUGUAACUUCAUAUUCAAUUAUGAUAAACCUUAUUCCCUGUUAGUAGAACUCAAGAAAAUCACGUCCAAUCACUCUCAAAGGUAUCACCACUUGGGGGUAAAUAAACAGAGACGUCCAAGCAUUUUUG